AGAGCGGCGUACGGGUGCGGAACACGUGUGCACUGCCUUUAUCUGGGGGAUAGCCUUUCGAAAGGAAGAUUAAUACCCCAUAAUAUGUUGAAUGGCAUCAUUCGACAUUGAAAACUCCGGUGGAUAGAGAUGGGCACGCGCAAGAUUAGAUAGUUGGUGAGGUAACGGCUCACCAAGUCUACGAUCUUUAGGGGGCCUGAGAGGAUGACCAGCCACACUGGAACUGAGACACGGUCCAGACUCCUACGGGAGGCAGCAGUGGGGAAUAUUGCACAAUGGGCGCAAGCCUGAUGCAGCCAUGCCGCGUGUAUGAAGAAGGCCUUCGGGUUGUAAAGUACUUUCAGCGGGGAGGAAGGUGUUGUGGUUAAUAACCACAGCAAUUGACGUUACCCGCAGAAGAAGCACCGGCUAACUCCGUGCCAGCAGCCGCGGUAAUACGGAGGGUGCAAGCGCUAAUCGGAAUUACUGGGCGUAAAGCGCACGCAGGCGGUCUGUCAAGUCGGAUGUGAAAUCCCCGGGCUCAACCUGGGAACUGCAUUCGAAACUGGCAGGCUAGAGUCUUGUAAGGGGGGUAGAAUUCCAGGUGUAGCGGGUGAAAUG
RNAcentral lists this ribosomal RNA (600 nucleotides) under uncultured bacterium. RNAcentral describes it as "bacterial SSU rRNA". It matches the Rfam family "Bacterial small subunit ribosomal RNA", at positions 92 to 688 of the family's 1533-position model. The record is from RNAcentral.